CAAGACACAUCACGCCUUGGUUCCGGCUUGGCCGGAUGAAACGGGAACGCGGUGCGCCUUCGGGCCAUGCCGCGACUGCCCCCGCAACUGUAAGCGGCGAGCGACGGCGCACUGGCCACUGGGCAUCCCCCGGGAAGGCGCGCCCGAGCCACGACCCGCAAGUCAGGAGACCGGCCCGGGCGUCACCCAUGUC
RNAcentral lists this non-coding RNA (193 nucleotides) under Paenirhodobacter enshiensis. Lineage: Bacteria; Pseudomonadati; Pseudomonadota; Alphaproteobacteria; Rhodobacterales. The record is from RNAcentral.